AGAGUUUGAUCCUGGCUCAGGACGAACGCUGGCGGCGUGCUUAACACAUGCAAGUCGAGCGAUGAAGUUCCUUCGGGGACGGAUUAGCGGCGGACGGGUGAGUAACACGUGGGUAACCUGCCUCAUAGAGGGGAAUAGCCUUUCGAAAGGAAGAUUAAUACCGCAUAAGAUUGUAGCUUCGCAUGAAGUAGCAAUUAAAGGAGUAAUCCGCUAUGAGAUGGACCCGCGUCGCAUUAGCUAGUUGGUGAGGUAACGGCUCACCAAGGCGACGAUGCGUAGCCGACCUGAGAGGGUGAUCGGCCACAUUGGGACUGAGACACGGCCCAGACUCCUACGGGAGGCAGCAGUGGGGAAUAUUGCACAAUGGGGGAAACCCUGAUGCAGCAACGCCGCGUGAGUGAUGACGGUCUUCGGAUUGUAAAACUCUGUCUUCAGGGACGAUAAUGACGGUACCCGUAGAAGAAGCUCCGGCUAACUUCGUGCCAGCAGCCGCGGUAAUACGAAGGGGGCUAGCGUUGUUCGGAAUUACUGGGCGUAAAGCGCGCGCAGGCGGUCCUUCAAGUCAGGGGUGAAAGCCCAGAGCUCAACUCUGGAAUUGCCUUUGAAACUGUAGGACUUGAGGAUGAGAGAGGUGAGUGGAAUUCCCAGUGUAGAGGUGAAAUUCGUAGAUAUUGGGAAGAACACCGGUGG
This 690-nucleotide ribosomal RNA is filed under the name uncultured bacterium. Its description in RNAcentral is "bacterial SSU rRNA". It matches the Rfam family "Bacterial small subunit ribosomal RNA", at positions 8 to 715 of the family's 1533-position model. The record is from RNAcentral.